RNAcentral lists this ribosomal RNA (468 nucleotides) under uncultured bacterium. RNAcentral describes it as "partial 16S ribosomal RNA". It matches the Rfam family "Bacterial small subunit ribosomal RNA", at positions 28 to 507 of the family's 1533-position model. The record is from RNAcentral.
GACGAACGCUGGCGGCGUGCUUAACACAUGCAAGUCGAACGGAAAGGCCCUGCUUUUGUGGGGUGCUCGAGUGGCGAACGGGUGAGUAACACGUGAGUAACCUGCCCUUGGCUUUGGGAUAACUUCAGGAAACUGGGGCUAAUACCGGAUAGGAGCUCCUGCUGCAUGGUGGGGGUUGGAAAGUUUCGGCGGUUGGGGAUGGACUCGCGGCUUAUCAGCUUGUUGGUGGGGUAGUGGCUUACCGAGGCUUUGACGGGUAGCCGGCCUGAGAGGGUGACCGGCCACAUUGGGACUGAGAUACGGCCCAGACUCCUACGGGAGGCAGCAGUGGGGAAUAUUGCACAAUGGGCGGAAGCCUGAUGCAGCAACGCCGCGUGCGGGAUGACGGCCUUCGGGUUGUAAACCGCUUUCGCCUGUGACGAAGCGUGAGUGACGGUAAUGGGUAAAGAAGCACCGGCUAACUACGUG